UACGUAGGCAGCGAGCGUUGUUCGGAAUUACUGGGCGUAAAGAGUGUGUAGGCGGUGCUCUAAGUUCGGUGUGAAAUCUCCUGGCUCAACUGGGAGGGUGCGCCGGAAACUGGAGCGCUUGAGCGUGGGAGAGGAAAGCGGAAUUCCUGGUGUAGCGGUGAAAUGCGUAGAUAUCAGGAGGAACACCUGUGGUGUAGACGGCUUUCUGGACCAUAGCUGACGCUGAGACACGAAAGCGUGGGUAGCAAACAGG
This 253-nucleotide ribosomal RNA is filed under the name uncultured bacterium. RNAcentral's name for it is "partial 16S ribosomal RNA". It matches the Rfam family "Bacterial small subunit ribosomal RNA", at positions 524 to 776 of the family's 1533-position model. The record is from RNAcentral.